This 499-nucleotide ribosomal RNA is filed under the name Penicillium sp. RNAcentral describes it as "LSU rRNA". It matches the Rfam family "Eukaryotic large subunit ribosomal RNA", at positions 69 to 572 of the family's 3401-position model. Lineage: Eukaryota; Fungi; Ascomycota; Eurotiomycetes; Eurotiales; Aspergillaceae. The record is from RNAcentral. RNAcentral also lists the same sequence under 1 other name.
CAGGGAUUGCCCCAGUAACGGCGAGUGAAGCGGCAAGAGCUCAAAUUUGAAAGCUGGCUCCUUCGGGGCCCGCAUUGUAAUUUGCAGAGGAUGCUUCGGGAGCGGCCCCCAUCUAAGUGCCCUGGAACGGGCCGUCAUAGAGGGUGAGAAUCCCGUAUGGGAUGGGGUGUCCGCGCCCGUGUGAAGCUCCUUCGACGAGUCGAGUUGUUUGGGAAUGCAGCUCUAAAUGGGUGGUAAAUUUCAUCUAAAGCUAAAUAUUGGCCGGAGACCGAUAGCGCACAAGUAGAGUGAUCGAAAGAUGAAAAGCACUUUGAAAAGAGAGUUAAAAAGCACGUGAAAUUGUUGAAAGGGAAGCGUUUGCGACCAGACUCGCCCGUGGGGUUCAGCCGGCACUCGUGCCGGUGUACUUCCCCGCGGGCGGGCCAGCGUCGGUUUGGGCGGCCGGUCAAAGGCCCUCGGAAUGUAACGCCUCUCGGGGCGUCUUAUAGCCGAGGGUGCC